This 714-nucleotide ribosomal RNA is filed under the name Salmonella enterica subsp. enterica serovar Paratyphi B var. L(+) tartrate +. Its description in RNAcentral is "partial 23S ribosomal RNA". It matches the Rfam family "Bacterial large subunit ribosomal RNA", at positions 2229 to 2925 of the family's 2925-position model. The record is from RNAcentral. Lineage: Bacteria; Pseudomonadati; Pseudomonadota; Gammaproteobacteria; Enterobacterales; Enterobacteriaceae.
GGACCCGUAAUCCGGGUUGCGGACAGUGUCUGGUGGGUAGUUUGACUGGGGCGGUCUCCUCCUAAAGAGUAACGGAGGAGCACGAAGGUUGGCUAAUCCUGGUCGGACAUCAGGAGGUUAGUGCAAUGGCAUAAGCCAGCUUGACUGCGAGCGUGACGGCGCGAGCAGGUGCGAAAGCAGGUCAUAGUGAUCCGGUGGUUCUGAAUGGAAGGGCCAUCGCUCAACGGAUAAAAGGUACUCCGGGGAUAACAGGCUGAUACCGCCCAAGAGUUCAUAUCGACGGCGGUGUUUGGCACCUCGAUGUCGGCUCAUCACAUCCUGGGGCUGAAGUAGGUCCCAAGGGUAUGGCUGUUCGCCAUUUAAAGUGGUACGCGAGCUGGGUUUAGAACGUCGUGAGACAGUUCGGUCCCUAUCUGCCGUGGGCGCUGGAGAACUGAGGGGGGCUGCUCCUAGUACGAGAGGACCGGAGUGGACGCAUCACUGGUGUUCGGGUUGUCAUGCCAAUGGCACUGCCCGGUAGCUAAAUGCGGAAGAGAUAAGUGCUGAAAGCAUCUAAGCACGAAACUUGCCCCGAGAUGAGUUCUCCCUGAGACUUAGAGUCUCCUGAAGGAACGUUGAAGACGACGACGUUGAUAGGCCGGGUGUGUAAGCGCAGCGAUGCGUUGAGCUAACCGGUACUAAUGAACCGUGAGGCUUAACCUUACAACGCCGAAG